RNAcentral lists this ribosomal RNA (324 nucleotides) under uncultured bacterium. RNAcentral describes it as "bacterial SSU rRNA". It matches the Rfam family "Bacterial small subunit ribosomal RNA", at positions 28 to 334 of the family's 1533-position model. The record is from RNAcentral.
GAUGAACGCUGGCGGCGUGCUUAACACAUGCAAGUCGAACGAAGCGCUUAAACGGAUUUCUUCGGAUUGAAGUUUUUGUGACUGAGUGGCGGACGGGUGAGUAACGCGUGGGUAACCUGCCUCAUACAGGGGGAUAACAGUUAGAAAUGGCUGCUAAUACCGCAUAAGACCACAGUACUGCAUGGUACAGUGGUAAAAACUCCGGUGGUAUGAGAUGAACCCGCGUCUGAUUAGGUAGUUGGUGAGGUAACGGCCCACCAAGCCGACGAUCAGUAGCCGACCUGAGAGGGUGACCGGCCACAUUGGAACUGAGACACGGUCCAA